This 82-nucleotide transfer RNA is filed under the name Chlorobiota bacterium. Its description in RNAcentral is "Chlorobi bacterium tRNA-Leu". It matches the Rfam family "tRNA". From Rfam's summary of the family: Transfer RNA (tRNA) molecules are approximately 80 nucleotides in length. The record is from RNAcentral. Lineage: Bacteria; Pseudomonadati; Chlorobiota. RNAcentral also lists the same sequence under 1 other name.
GCGGGUGUGGCGAAAUUGGCAGACGCGCCAGACUUAGGAUCUGGUGCCGUGAGGCAUGGGGGUUCAAGUCCCUCCACCCGCA